GUGGGAGGAUCUUCUUCAGGUAGUCGUCAUCCCUUUAAGAAAGAAAAAAAGAAGAAGAAUAAGAAGGUACCUAGUGUUGGGUGUCAGUCCCAGAAAUCUAAGUUUAAGGCUGAUCAAAGUCAGACAGAGUGCUUCUUUUGCAAGAAGCAGGAUCACUAGAAGAGGAACUAUCCUCAGUAUAUCGCUUUUCUUGAUCCGAAGAGGCAAAAGAAGAAGA
Molecule: long non-coding RNA, 217 nt
Filed under: Elaeis guineensis (African oil palm)
Lineage: Eukaryota; Viridiplantae; Streptophyta; Magnoliopsida; Arecales; Arecaceae
Description: long non-coding RNA (EGUI_LNC014156)
Source: RNAcentral